Molecule: long non-coding RNA, 3223 nt
Organism: Diospyros lotus (date-plum)
Lineage: Eukaryota; Viridiplantae; Streptophyta; Magnoliopsida; Ericales; Ebenaceae
Exons: 3
Source: RefSeq, a predicted model, not a curated record
UAGCAUGGCCGAGAGGGCCAUCCGCGUGCGAGGGAGAGAGUGAUCGAGAGAGAGCUUGCGAAUGAGAGUGAGAGAAAGCUUAAUGGUGGAACACGGCCAUGGCGGUAGCAACCUCACGUUGCAGUUGCAGUGGCCGAGAGCAGCGAUAGUAAUGGAGCGAGAUCGCGAGGGAGAGAUGGCCGGUUGGAAGCUGCCUGAAGCGACGAGCUUCGGCCAGGAGCAAGGGCGGCGAUGAGGGAAGCCGCUGUGGUCAGCAAUGGCAGUGCUGGUAGCAGCAGCCAGCAGCGAAGACGCCAUGGAGGUUGGGCGAAGCUGGAGCAGCUGAGAAGUCCGAUGGUGGUUGCGCGAGCAAUAGCGGUCGUGGCUGGAAGCUGCAAGGAGGAUAGCUAUGGCGGCUGUAGCGUCGGGCGGUGCUCGAGAGGCAGGGAAGGCAGCCGAAGGCGACGGCGGGUGGCUGGUGUGCAGGUCAACCACGAGAGGAAGAAGAAGGGCCGCGCGCGGGAAGGAAGGAGCAGGGGAGAAAGAAGGGAAAAAAAAUAGAAAAGAAAAGAAAAAAACAGAAGAAAAAGAAAAUGAAAGGAAAAGGGGAAAAAAAUAGGAGAAAAUCCCAGAAAAUUUCAAAAAAAGUGGGGAAAGUUCAGAAAAUUAAAUUGGGGCUUGAAGAGCGUGUCGGAAGCGCGAAAAUGGGAUUUUAGGCAAACGACAGCCCGUGAGGCAACGCCGGUGUGGGCGUUUUUCGAAUUUCUCUCCAUAUGAGUCGAAGUUCGACUGGGAAGGCUGUGAUCCUAGAGGAACUUGAGGUGCAGGUUGGAGUUCGUGCCGAGGCAGAGAUAAGGCUUCUAGCCAGAUGAUGCAAGUCCAGAUGCAAGCAGGGAUGGCGCCGGGAGGUUGUUGCGGCAACUAGCUGUAUUGCCCGAGUUGUGUAAUUUAUUAUCUCUUGUACGUAGCCAUGUGGUGUUAUGUAUGUAUACCCUCGUGAGUAAAUGUAUGUGUUGUUGAGCGUUAAAUGUAUUUAAUUGUUGUAAUCAUCAUAGUGUGAAAGAUGAUUGUGAGAUUGCUUGUUGCAUGUGGCUUGAGUUGUUGAAGCCAAGUUCGGAUCGAGUAAGGACCAACGAGGUAUGUUCUCAUAAAUCCCCAAUACUCAACAAUGUGUUGUUAUGCUAGCCUUGUGCCUGGGUCACCCCUGGCUUGCUAUGGGACGAGCUGAAGAGAGGUGAAGCUCACUCGGGUUUCAGGUCUUGGUCCACUGGGUUUUUUUUCUUGUUUGAGUUGAGACCGAUUCCCGAGUGGAGCGAAGGGAAGGAUGAAGCCUAGUUCCCACCUAGGGCGUUUCCUGUUGAAACAUAGUCUAACCCUUCAAUUGUGGUUCGUCGGGUGAGUAAUCCGGUCGAUUAUUUACCGGUGGCGCCCGUAAGUGGGAGCGGGUCGUUACACCUAAGUUCAAGCCUAGUAAUCUGUGCAGAAAAUGCCAGAAGCAACACCCCAGAAAGUCGUGCCGGCUAGGAACGAAAGGUUGCUACAAUUACAGAAAGGAAUGACAUAUCAAUCUAAACUACCCCAAGAAAGGAAUCACCUGUUUUAACUGCCAGCAGACAGGACAUUUUGCAAGGGACUGCCCCAAGCCGCGGCAGAUGAGUCAACCUCAGGGGUCAUCAGGAAAUGCUAGGGUACAGGAGGGAAAGGUAUUUCAUCUGACUUGGCAAGAUAUGGUAGAAGACCCGGCCCUAAUCGAAGGUACCAUGUUUAUAUCUGGUAUUCCUAUGCAUGUUUUGAUAGAUUUAGGAGCAAGUCAUUCAUUCAUUUCGUAUGCAUUUGCUAAAGUACUAGGAGAAAAAUCAGAAAACUUAAACUGUCAUAUGAUCAUAGCAACCCCAAUUGGGAAGUGUCUAGAAACCUGCUCAGGAUAUAAAAAUAGAAAAAUUCAGAUAGGAGAAAUUGAGUUCCUAGUGGAUUUAAUCCUUUAGGAAUUUCAAGAUUCUGACGUGAUUCUAGGAAUGGAUUUCUUAACCAAAUACAAUGCCCCUCACCAAGUUAACCCAUAAGAGGGUGAAGUUCGAUUGGAAUAAGCGGUGCGAAGAAAGUUUUUAGAUGCUUAAAGAUAAACACACGACCACUCCAAUAUUGGCUAUGCCAAAUAAAUCAGGAGGAUUUAUGGUGUAUACCGACACCUCAAGAAAUGGUUUGGGAUGUGUACUGAUGCAACACGGUAAGGUCAUUGCCUAUGGGUCCCGAAAGCUUAAGAACCAUGAGCGGAAUUACCCGACCCAUGAUUUGGAGUUGGCAGCAAUGGUGUUUGCCUUAAAGGUUUGGAGGCACUAUUUAUAUGGCGAGAAGUUUGAAAUUUUUACUGAUCACAAGAGCCUACAAUACGUAUUCUUGUAGAAAGAAUUAAACACGAGGCAACGGAGAUGGAUGAAGAUGUUAAAAGAUUACGACUGCAUUAUCCAAUACCAUCCAGGUAAAGCUAACGUUGUGGCUGAUACCCUAAACAAAAAAGAAACCACUUAUGUGGCUGGAAUGAUGGUAUCUGAGUGGAAGCUAGUGGAAGCUUUUAGUCUAAUUACAGUGGGAGUAGUUUCCCGAGGUAACUCUGCUUACGCAGCUAGUCUCACUCUGCAACCAGAAUUAAUGGAUCAAAUAUGGUAGGCUUAGUCAGAAGAUUCCCGAAUUAAGUCAUGGAUUGAUGAGUAUGAACGAGUAAAGAGACCGAAAUUCGAGGUAAGAGAAAACAUUCUUCGGUUACAAUGAAGGAUAUACGUGCCUCGCGUGAAGGAAUUAUAACAAGUAAUUUUGGGAGAAGCCCACCGAUCCAGAUACUCGAUACACCCUGGUGCCACUAAGAUGUACAAAGAUUUGAAGGCUGUGUAUUAGUGGCCCGGAAUGAAGAAAAGUGUGGCGAGGUACAUUAGUCAAUGUGAUACAUGCCAUAGUGUGAUACCCCAUGUGUAGAUAAGGUUGACACGAAAUUUCGAUGAGUUUAGAAUACCGAAAAAUUGGUUUGAUAGCAGUUAUUAGUACCGAAUCGACUGGAGGGAAUGCCUCAGAGUGAAAUUAUCUAAGGAAAAUUAUAUAGUCUCGACGAGCGUAUCGAGAUAGGAUUUAUGGUAUCGAAAGAAAUCGAAUCGGGAACAGUUUUCGGUACAUCUAAAAUACAACCGCCAUUUAGGCUGUAAAAUUGAAUUAUUGUAGGAGACUCCCGAAAAACCAAUGGAACCUUAGGGGG